Chrysoperla carnea is the source of this 349-nucleotide long non-coding RNA. RefSeq lists it as uncharacterized. The transcript is spliced from 3 exons. The record is from RefSeq and is a predicted model, not a curated record. NCBI's taxonomy places the organism in Eukaryota, Metazoa, Arthropoda, Insecta, Neuroptera, Chrysopidae.
CUUCGUACACGUCACAACCGCGUGCUUCCAGUAUACUUACAUUUACACUAUUUGUUACUUACAAUGCAAAUAGGCAAUGCCCGAGACGCGGCAAUAUGGUUAAUUGAGGACCAUUACCCUCAUGAGAGUAGGCUAUUUGAGUUAGUCUACCUAAUAACAGUAAUAACUUUCACUCCAGAUAAUUAUUAUUGUAGGACAAUGGAAAUUGCUCAACAAUAAGUUGAGGAUGAGUAUGAGUAUAGAGGUUAGCGGGCCAUGCUCGAGCAUUGGGCCUCGAAGCAAUGGUUCAGAGCACUUAGCCAAAUAGACCCUUGUACUCUAUCCCCGCUACGCAUUUCAGUGGCUAUUA